AUUGUUGUCAAAUGUAAUCUUCUCAUACAAUUAGCCCAGUUUCAUAGAUGUAGUACAGACCUGGUCUACACUGAAGAAAGAUACUAACGUAUUUCAGGGAGUAGGGAAAAGACUCUGACAGAACCCGUAACACCCCUGAAUUUCAAAGGAUGAGGUUGGGCCAGCAACAACUGAAAAUUUUAAUGUUCUCAUUCAUUCAUUCAUUCAUUCAACAAAUAUGUACAUACCAUGUGCCAGGCACUGACCUAUAUACACUGAAAUUAUAAUGGUAAAGAAAACAGCUGUGGCUUCUACCCUGUAAAUAGGGGUUUUACAACCACACAAUUGUAACAGAGAGUGAUAAGUGUUCUAAUGGAUACAGGUUGCCUUGGGAGCAUAAAGUAGGAGAGCAGAGAACUAUAUUCUGCAGGUCCAGUUGGGGAUGGUAUGUUUCUUUGGCAAGCCACAAUUAUGAGACCUAAUGAGAGCCCAUGUCAAGGCAGUGUAAUUUUUUUUUUUACAUUUUAUUUUCCAACAAACUUACCCCUUCAAACCACCUAAGGUUGCAUUUAUAACAAGAAUUUAUCAUCCAAAUAUUAACAGUAAUGGCAGCAUUUGUCUCGGCAUUUGAAGAUCACAGUGGUCUCCUGCUUUAACUAUUUCUAAAGUUCUCUUAUCCAUUUGUUCACUGCUAUGUGAUCCAAACCCAGAUGACCUCCUAGUGCCAGAGACUUUAUAGAUCUAUAAAACAGAGAUAAGUACAACAGAAUAUCUUGAGAAUAAACUCAGAAGUAUGCCAUGUGAUGCUACCUUAAAGUCAGAAUAACUUGCAGUAUAGCUGAAUAAACUUUAAAUUACCAUUAACAGAGAGAGAGAAAAUGACUUUACAUGUUAACUGGGUUGUAUGUGAGUGUGUAUAUGUGUGGAAACGUGUACAGGAAGAAGGAAGAGUGGGGAGUAUUUCAGGCAGAAGUAAGUGUAUGUGUAUCAGUUUGAAUAGAAGAGAAAGCAUGCCUCAUUUGAGUCAAUGAAAAAAAAUCAGUGUGGUUCACUUCUAAGGCACGGAUCAGGGGAGAUAUGGCAGGAGAGGGAGUUAUAUACAGAGCGUUGGAACUCUAUCCAAAGACAAGGAGGACCCACUGAAGCAUUUUAAGCAAAGAAAGAACACGAUCCCAUUUGUGUCUCAGAAAGCCCACUUGCUGCUGUGAGGAGGAUGGGCUGAACUCCACCUCACCCCUCCAGGUCAAUAGCAAUUUAAAGCCCUGAGGAGUCCCAGGGUGCCUGUGGCCGCUAUAGCAACGAGAGAGUCUGCGGUGCAUCUGGGGCAAAUUCCGGAUGCAGCAGCACCAAAGAGCAUCCAGACUCAGCCACUGUAUGGAGAGCAAUGGAUGCUGUGCCAAUGCUGGAUGUUCAGAAAGCUGACCCCUGGCACAAAGGCUUCUCCACACAAGAAGAAGAAAACAGUGCCAAGCUUCAGUCCCCCUGCUAGGAGGCCCACACUCUGGUUCUCUCGCCGCCUUCUUGGGUUGCUGGGCUGUUAAACCAGUUUACAUAAAGAGCCCCUCACCUCACUGUGGCCCCUCACCUCACUGCAGCGCUCCAAAAAGAAUCAACUGACAGUAUUUACAGGCAAGCAGUUACUAUGAGCAGAAUGAGUAAAAUGGAAAACAAAUAAACAAACAAACACGGGACCUAUUAAAACAUUCUGCAAUAUGAAAGAUGGGGAAGGUACCCCUUAAGAUGUAGAUGAAGAGCAUACCUGUGAAAAAAGUUCCCUCCCAGAAUAGAAAGAAUUGGCUCUGUAUUCUCAAGAAAUGUAGAAAAUGUAGGUUUUAAAAAGAAAUGAAAAAUAAUACAAGAUGUCAGACUCUGAUGAAGGACAGGCUGAGAACAAAGCAGAAUUACAGAGGACCUAGAUGCAAUGAGUAAAUAUGAUAA
This is a non-coding RNA of Callorhinus ursinus (northern fur seal), 1917 nucleotides long. NCBI's taxonomy places the organism in Eukaryota, Metazoa, Chordata, Mammalia, Carnivora, Otariidae. The record is from RefSeq and is a predicted model, not a curated record.